GCUGGCGGCGUGCUUUACACAUGCAAGUCGAGCGAGGCGUGUAGCAAUACACAGUCGAGCGGCGAACGGGUGAGUAACGCGUGGAUGACCUGCCCUUCAGCGGGGAAUAACCCGGGGAAACUCGGGCUAAUACCGCAUACGAUCGAGAGAUGAAAGGGGCCCGCAAGGGUUCCACUGAAGGAGGGGUCCGCGUCCGAUUAGCUAGUUGGUGGGGUAAUGGCCUACCAAGGCGACGAUCGGUAGCCGGCCUGAGAGGGUGAUCGGCCACACUGGAACUGAGACACGGUCCAGACUCCUACGGGAGGCAGCAGUGGGGAAUUUUGCGCAAUGGGCGAAAGCCUGACGCAGCAACGCCGCGUGGAGGAUGAAGGUCUUUGGAUUGUAAACUCCUGUCAGCGGGGAAAAAGCGAGGUGACCUCAUACGUCAUCGAGUUGAUUGUACCCGCAGAGGAAGCCCCGGCUAACUCUGUGCCAGCAGCCCGCGGUAAUACAGAGGGGGCAAGCGUUAUUCGGAAUUAUUGGGCGUAAAGGGCGCGUAGGCGGCUU
Molecule: ribosomal RNA, 546 nt
Filed under: uncultured soil bacterium
Lineage: Bacteria
Description: bacterial SSU rRNA
Rfam family: Bacterial small subunit ribosomal RNA
Source: RNAcentral